This 253-nucleotide ribosomal RNA is filed under the name uncultured bacterium. Its description in RNAcentral is "partial 16S ribosomal RNA". It matches the Rfam family "Bacterial small subunit ribosomal RNA", at positions 524 to 776 of the family's 1533-position model. The record is from RNAcentral.
UACAGAGGAGCCAAGCGUUGUCCGGAUUGACUGGGCGUAAAGCGCACGUAGGCGGUCUUUUAAGUCGGGGGUGAAAUCCUGGAGCUCAACCCCAGAACUGCCUUCGAUACUGGAAGACUCGAGUCCGGGAGAGGUGAGUGGAACUGCGAGUGUAGAGGUGAAAUUCGUAGAUAUUCGCAAGAACACCAGUGGCGAAGGCGGCUCACUGGCCCGGUACUGACGCUGAGGUGCGAAAGCGUGGGGAGCAAACAGG